Molecule: RNase P RNA, 327 nt
Filed under: Actinomycetota bacterium
Lineage: Bacteria; Bacillati; Actinomycetota
Description: RNase P RNA component class A
Rfam family: Bacterial RNase P class A
About the family: Ribonuclease P (RNase P) is a ubiquitous endoribonuclease, found in archaea, bacteria and eukarya as well as chloroplasts and mitochondria.
Source: RNAcentral
GUCGCAGGCCGGGUGACCGCGGGCCUUCGGGCUCGAGGAAAGUCCGGACACCGAAGGGCAGGACGCUCCCGCGAGGGAGGCGGCGAAAGCCGACGGACAGUGGCACAGAAAACAGACCGCCGCCAGCGCAUCUCCGGAGACGCUGACGGUAAGGGUGAAACGGUGGGGUAAGAGCUCACCAGCGGCCCUGGCGACAGGACCGGCUCGCCAAACCCCGUCCGGUGCAAGGCGAACAGGCUCCGCUGACGCAGCCCGCCGAGGAGCCGGGUAGCCGCACAGAUGGAUGGUCACCCUCGACAGAAUCCGGCUUACAGGCCUGCUAACGAA